CGUGGACCCACCCCUUAGAAGUUACCCUAUUGCGUCACAAGUAUCGAACGUCCCGAUAACUGCACCAAACUGUAUAUGUAUACGUAUUUGUUCGUCUGUGUGCGAGUUCACGCGUCCACCUACGCGUUCGAAAACACGUACACGCCCACGUGAACACGACAAUUUAUUGGAAAAUUUUCCAACUGACGUGAUCAUUUUGUGAUUAAAUUUAUACAAUUUUUUUUCGAAAGUCAAGUAAUAUACACUUGGAAGUACGUUUGCGCAUAAAAAUAAAAGUUUGACGUAAGAAACUUAAAAGUAAUUGAUCAUGCUGUGACGUAUAGUAUAGAACGUCAUUGUCUCUACGUCUUUUAGUUAAUGAUGACGAUUCUAUGUAAACGUGGUGCGCUAUAAAUACCAUCGAUAGCCUUCGUUAUAAAACUAUCGACUUCCGAUUUGAAUUGGAACGUCUAGAGUUUUUCUUAUAGCAUCGAACGUGUUCUAGUCUUUUUAUAAUGCCUCUUCAUCACAAUCUACGAAUUAUUAUGACGAAAUUAAUGAGAGGAAUCGAUUGUGAUCAACUUUGAUAACGACAGCUUCUCCUCGUAUUGAACCGACUUGGUCGUCAAGUCUACUGGCGUUUCUGCCGAGGGCAACGCCCUCGCCAGCCCUCUCAUCCCCAUUCAGAAGAAACGUGGAAGAAAAAGAGGGAUGUUCCGAGUAAGAGAACGGGAAGGGAAGCUUUCGCAGGGGUGGAAAUUACAGACAAGUUAGCGAGUCGAUUCACUGUGCUCGAGGCAGUUCGUUCUACAGAUUGCUGAGUAGAUGUUGGAGACUGGAACGAAGUGGUUGAUGGUUUUAUAGUUGUUGAUCCUGUGACAACCGCUGAUUUCUCGGAUCUUUUCCGACGAUCUUCGUUCGUGUAGUAACGAGAGUAGGGCGAACUAUCCCAUAUCUGGGGUAUUUCGUAUCCCAGUUCAUUUAUUGUUCCAUAACUGAAACAGAAAUAAAGAUCACACUGCUUAACUUUAAUAUUAAAUUUUAAAGCGGUAGACGAAUACGAUGAGCUCGGAUUAUUCUCUGGUUGGUGAUUCUGUUGGUUGCCGAACAUCAACAUUUCCUGUGCCCGUUUAGCUGGAGUCAAAACGAAUAUCAUCAAUAAAUUUCUGCCGGUCGAUCUUCAGACGAUUUCUUCUUAUCUGGGAUGCGAUUCUCCCAGGAGGAUGAAGAGAACCAGCGGGUUCGGCUGAUCGAGGUAGAAUGAACGUUGGGGCUGAGCAGGACGGCUAGAAAACUGGCGAGAGGCGUCAGAGUUGUGCAGGAGGAAUUGUAGCACCGUUUUCCGUAUUCAGUCCCCGGCCACUUUUCUUCAACCCCCGCAACAGGCCAAACGCCCACGCCAUCGUAUAACGCCCACGACCACCCAACGCCCACGCAUAUGAGAAAGGGAGAGAAAGAGAGAGAGGAGAAAACGAACCAACCAAAGAAAGGAGGAGUAAAGUGAGAUGGCAGAAAAGAAUAAUUGCAGAGUUAGAUGAUAUAUAUAAAAUUUUGCGAGAGAAGCCGGAAAAUUCUCGGAAGUAACCACUCUUUAGCAAAGUGUUUACUUGAGAUACGACGCAUCCUAGCGCACUACGUGCUUCAGUAAUUGACCUAUUUCCAAAGAAUCGGCUGCACGCUUGCGCGAAUUAAAGUAGUUGUUGCACAAAACAAGCGCAACUCGCCUCGUUGGAGUUUUCAUAAAGUAACAAUGUUCGUAAAAUAUUAUGGAAACGUUUUAUGGUAACAGAUGCUCGAAAACGAUCUUAAUAAACACGAGGAGAUUUAUUCUAAUGCAAUUAUUUUAAUUGCAAUUAUUUAAUUAUUGUAUAUUAACGAUAAAAAAAAGAACAUUAAAAACAUUCAAUUGAGAGAAAUAAAAAGUUUUCAUUUUACUAUGCUCAAUAUGAAGCUUAUUUAACAUCUGAGAGAUAAGGAAAAAUAUUUUUGUAUUCGAUUGCAUUCCGAGAUGGAUUUCAUAAAAUAAAAGCAUGCAAUCAUUGUUAAUUUUUGCCGAAAUAUCGGGAGCAAUUAACGCCACACCCUCAACCACUGACAAAACAUAUAUUCUCUCUUUGAAUUUGAGAAUAUACUUGUUCAGAGACACGUGACUGUAUUUCCUCGAGAAGCAAAUGGGAAAAUUAAUUUUCGUAAAUUCACUAGAAGCUAUUCCGAAGAGGAUACAUCCGAACCCAGCCGUCGUUGUAAUUACGGGGGAGCAAAUUCUGUGAAAUAAUAUAAUUCGACGUGCUCGAUCCGAAGGUUGGUUCCCAUUGACGUCAGCCGUUGGUUCUGGAAACGACGAAUCCCCGUGCUUCGAAAACUUAGUGGGGGACAUACGCGUCGUGAGGAAAUGAUUCGUAGGAGGGGAGCAUGGAUAUUGUAUCCAGGGACGUUGCAUGAACAUCACAACUCCAGGAUCAAAAUAAUUUUUCGACAGAUAAUAGCUAAACAAUAAAAUCUUUUCAUAUCUAUUUUUAUCGGCGACU
Molecule: long non-coding RNA, 2507 nt
Organism: Apis laboriosa (Himalayan honeybee)
Lineage: Eukaryota; Metazoa; Arthropoda; Insecta; Hymenoptera; Apidae
Exons: 8
Source: RefSeq, a predicted model, not a curated record